Molecule: ribosomal RNA, 418 nt
Filed under: uncultured Methanothermobacter sp.
Lineage: Archaea; Methanobacteriati; Methanobacteriota; Methanobacteria; Methanobacteriales; Methanobacteriaceae
Description: bacterial SSU rRNA
Rfam family: Archaeal small subunit ribosomal RNA
Source: RNAcentral
GUGCACCAGGCGAGAAACCUCCGCAAUGCACGCAAGUGCGACGGGGGAACCCCAAGUGCCACUCUUAACGGGGUGGCUUUUCAGAAGUGUAAAAAGCUUCUGGAAUAAGGGCUGGGCAAGACCGGUGCCAGCCGCCGCGGUAACACCGGCAGCUCAAGUGGUAGCCGCUUUUAUUGGGCCUAAAGCGUCCGUAGCCGGUCUGAUAAGUCUCUGGUGAAAUCCCACAGCUUAACUGUGGGAAUUGCUGGAGAUACUAUCAUGACUCGAGGUCGGGAGAGGCUGGAGGUACUCCCAGGGUAGGGGUGAAAUCCUGUAAUCCUGGGAGGACCACCUGUGGCGAAGGCGUCCAGCUGGAACGAACCUGACGGUGAGGGACGAAAGCCAGGGGCGCGAACCGGAUUAGAUACCCAUGUAGUCC